Molecule: ribosomal RNA, 520 nt
Filed under: uncultured archaeon
Lineage: Archaea
Description: bacterial SSU rRNA
Rfam family: Archaeal small subunit ribosomal RNA
Source: RNAcentral
CCCCCCAAAACCGAAAGUGUGACGGGGUUACCCAAAGUGUUCUCUUUAGAACUGUGGUAAGUGAGUAAUGUCCCCUUUUAGAAAGGAGAGGGCAAGGCUGGUGCCAGCCGCCGCGCUUAAACCAGCUCUUCAAGUGGUCGGGAUAAUUAUUGGGCUUAAAGUGUCCGUAGCCGGAUUGGAAAGUUCCUGGUAAAAUCGGGUAGCUUAACUAUCCGCGUGCUAGGAAUACUACCAUUCUAGAAGGCGGGAAAGGUCUGAGGUACUACAGGGGUAGGGGUGAAAUCUUAUAAUCCUUGUAGGACCACCAGUGGCGAAGGCGUCAGACUGGAACGCGCCUGACGGUGAGGGACGAAAGCCAGGGGAGCGAACCGGAUUAGAUACCCGGGUAGUCCUGGCCGUAAACGAUGCACGCUAGGUGUUGGGUCGGCCACGAGCCGCCCCAGUGCCGCAGGGAAGCCGUUAAGCGUGCCGCCUGGGGAGUACGGCCGCAAGGCUGAAACUUAAAGGAAUUGGCGGGGGA